Molecule: ribosomal RNA, 492 nt
Filed under: uncultured bacterium
Lineage: Bacteria
Description: partial 16S ribosomal RNA
Rfam family: Bacterial small subunit ribosomal RNA
Source: RNAcentral
AGUGAACGCUGGCGGUAGGCCUAACACAUGCAAGUCGAACGGCAGCACAGUAAGAGCUUGCUCUUACGGGUGGCGAGUGGCGGACGGGUGAGGAAUACAUCGGAAUCUACUUUUUCGUGGGGGAUAACGUAGGGAAACUUACGCUAAUCCCGCAUACGACCUACGGGUGAAAGCAGGGGAUCUUCUGACCUUGCGCGAGUGAAUGAGCCGAUGUCGGAUUAGCUAGUUGGCGGGGUAAAGGCCCAGCAAGGCGACGAUCCGUAUCUGGUCUGAGAGGAUGGUCAGACACACUGGAACUGAGACACGGUCCAGACUCUUACGGGAGGACGCAGUGGAGAAUAUUGGACAAUGGGGGCAAGCCUGAUCCAGGCAUACCGGGUGGGUGAAGAAGGACUUAGGGUUGUAAAGCCAUGUUGUUGGGAAAGAAAAGCAGCAGGUUAAUACCCCGCUGUUCUGACGGUACCCAAAGAAUAAGCACCGGCUAACUUCGUG